ACUCCUACGGGAGGCAGCAGUAGGGAAUCUUCCACAAUGGACGAAAGUCUGAUGGAGCAACGCCGCGUGAGUGAAGAAGGGUUUCGGCUCGUAAAACUCUGUUGUUAAAGAAGAACAUAUCUGAGAGUAACUGUUCAGGUAUUGACGGUAUUUAACCAGAAAGCCACGGCUAACUACGUGCCAGCAGCCGCGGUAAUACGUAGGUGGCAAGCGUUGUCCGGAUUUACUGGGGCGUAAAGCGAGCGCAGGCGGUUUUUAAGUCUGAUGUGAAAGCCUUCGGCUCAACCGAAGAAGUGCAUCGGAAACUGGGAAACUUGAGUGCAGAAGAGGACAGUGGAACUCCAUGUGUAGCGGUGAAAUGCGUAGAUAUAUGGAAGAACACCAGUGGCGAAGGCGGCUGUCUGGUCUGUAACUGACGCUGAGGCUCGAAAGUAUGGGUAGCAAACAGGAUUAGAUACCCUGGUAGGAUAGCG
This 473-nucleotide ribosomal RNA is filed under the name uncultured bacterium. RNAcentral's name for it is "bacterial SSU rRNA". It matches the Rfam family "Bacterial small subunit ribosomal RNA", at positions 335 to 802 of the family's 1533-position model. The record is from RNAcentral.